RNAcentral lists this long non-coding RNA (2077 nucleotides) under Marmota monax (woodchuck). The record is from RNAcentral. Lineage: Eukaryota; Metazoa; Chordata; Mammalia; Rodentia; Sciuridae.
CCAGAACCCCUUUGUGCUCUUUCUUCAGAAGUUCCACGUCUGGUUGACGUUAGCUGUGCACGUUGGAGGGGUGCAGCGUGCUCUUUCAUCGGGAGGACACAGCGCUCGCGGACCACGUCCAUGCAGCCUCAUGCUCCCUGGAGGCCCAGAGAGCCCUCAUUUGCUCGAAUUUCUGCACAAAGACGGCACUGGAGAAAUUCAAGACUCAUGCGUUUAUUGAUCCACUGAGAACAGCAGCAGUGAACCCGGGUCCCAGUCGGCGUGAGUAGCGGGGCUAGGCGGGGUUACGGCCCCUCCCACCCCAGACAGUGAGGCGCGGCCUGGACACCUGUCUGUGUGCGUUGGUGUCUGCCUUACCAGAGGACGGCUGGGCGCUCAGAGCUGCUUCCCGGCUGUCGCAACAUGCUGUUUGUUUUGGAGUCAGACGAGGCUGUGGCUCCACGGAUCCGCGGUUGGCAAACAGGGCGUUCAGGUGCCGGAGCGGUUCUGCUGCGAGACCGAAUGAAGACAGGGGAGGGCUAGGCUCUCAGGUCAGCGGCCAGGUGGACUUGGCAGCCCUGUGGAUGACUUUCUCUCCCGCAGUGGACUCGUACCCGUGUGUGAUUUGGAAGUGCCACACGUGGGCCACUGAGGUGGUGCUUCACUGUAUUCUGCAGGUCCCCGGGACAGGGGCGAAAGUCCUGGCUUAGCUUCUCACUCCUCAGGCCUCCUCCUUCUCCCCCAGGAAGGCCUCCCCGUGGUGGCCGUGGAGCCCCUGCUGGUGGACACAAGCCUUCCCAGACCCCGACCUUUGCUGACAGCCAGCCUCGUCAUGACGACGAAUGCUGUGGCCACCUUCCUGGCCGGCACAGCCUCCCUCCGCUCAUUUCUGGGACGUGUCUGCCCGACGCCCAAGUCUGAGUAGCCCGAGUUUGUCCCUUGGCUGCUCCUUGGAGCACAGGGUCCUGUGGCCAAGGGGCUUCUUUAUGCCGGGCUCAGGCUCUCUCCCAACAUUCUGUUUGACCAGGACAGCCUCGCGCUAGCUUCCGUUCAGUCACGUGUGGUGACUGAAACCACAAUUCAGGGUCAGCAUAACUUUGGCUGCCACGGGGAGUCCCCCCCGUGCUGCUGGAGCCCAGCCCUCCUCAGCCCUGACACCGACGUGUGGGGAGUCUGGGCCCCAGGCUCGGAGAUCCAGGCUGGGGCAGCUCUUCCAGCCUGCAGCUUCUCUGCCUGGACCUGGUGGCCGUUGUGGCUCUUCUGGCUGUGGGGAGUGCUCGAGGGACUCACCAGGGAGUUGGACACUCCCCUGGAACACCUCAUGUACUUCUGCCUCAGCCCACUGGCCAGAGAGGCCACCCGGGCUCCCUGAAUGUGGGGACUGGAAGCAGCUGGAAGGAGAGGAGCAGGGUGUGGGGGCCCACAGCUCAGCUGCCUGUGCCCCCAAGGGCUGGGGCCCUGCCUCCCCUGAGCCUGUCACGGGGCAGCCAGAGCUUAGCCAUGCCCCUGCUAUGGCCUCCUUCCCUGUGCCCGGGCCGCUGUCUGUCUUCACGUGAGGAGCAGCUCCCCAUCCCACCUCCCUGCACCUGCUGGACGGUCAGGCGGAUGGAUAAUGGAGCAUUCAGGUCCUCCAUGUCCAGAGCCUCCACUGGCUCCAGCCUCACUCCUCCCAGGGAGUGUCAUGGUAGGUGGAGACCUUCCCUGAGAAGGACUCACAGCCUCUGCCCACCUCUGAGAAAGUGACCUUGGGGACACCCCUCCCUCUGCUCACCUCUAAGAAAUUGACCUUGGGGACACCUCUCCCUCUGCCCACCUCUGAGAAUGUGACCUUGGGGACACCUCUACUUCCUUCUGGACCUUGGUUUACUCCUCUUUGGGAGAGGGGUCAGCUGGAUGUCCCUGAAGCCCUCCUGUCCCUGUCAUGCCAUAAGGCUGCCUGAUCUUCUGGGCAGUGGGAUCUUGUUUGUAGUGUGGUGAGUGACUGUCCACCAAGAUUGCCCCCCACCGCGGCCCAGGAGCCGGCUGUGCCCUACGCCAGGCAUCGCUGUCUCUGUGUGUGUCCCGUCUCCGUCUCUCUGUGCUAUCCCGUGAGCACGCC